This 478-nucleotide ribosomal RNA is filed under the name uncultured bacterium. RNAcentral's name for it is "partial 16S ribosomal RNA". It matches the Rfam family "Bacterial small subunit ribosomal RNA", at positions 28 to 507 of the family's 1533-position model. The record is from RNAcentral.
GAUGAACGCUAGCGGCAGGCCUAACACAUGCAAGUCGAGGGAGAAGCCCUUUCGGGGGCCGAAACCGGCGCACGGGUGCGUAACGCGUAUGCAACCUACCUUUCACAGGGGGAUAGCCCGAAGAAAUUUGGAUUAAUACCCCAUAAUAUUAUUGGAUGGCAUCAUUUGAUAAUUAAAACUGCGGUGGUGAAAGAUGGGCAUGCGUCCUAUUAGCUAGUUGGAGUGGUAACGGCACCCCAAGGCUACGAUAGGUAGGGGUCCUGAGAGGGAGACCCCCCACACUGGUACUGAGACAGGGACCAGACUCCUACGGGAGGCAGCAGUGAGGAAUAUUGGUCAAUGGUCGGAAGACUGAAACAGCCAUGCCGCGUGCAGGAAGAAUGCCUUAUGGGUUGUAAACUGCUUUUAUAUGGGAAGAAUAAGGCGUACGUGUACGUUGAUGACGGUACCAUAUGAAUAAGCAUCGGCUAACUCCGUG